RNAcentral lists this long non-coding RNA (609 nucleotides) under Ananas comosus (pineapple). RNAcentral describes it as "long non-coding RNA (ACOM_LNC012650)". Lineage: Eukaryota; Viridiplantae; Streptophyta; Magnoliopsida; Poales; Bromeliaceae. The record is from RNAcentral.
CCACCUGUACGUUCUCCUCUGUUCUUGCUUCCAGCUUUUCUACAAAGAUGUUGCAACUUCUAUUUCCUCUGCAUUCCUUUCUCUGCUGCUCUUCCACCACAUUUUAUACAUACAUGUGUAACCAUUUGCUGUUUACAUUAAUAAAAAAAAGAAGAAGAAACUUAAAAGAAUGCGCUAUUAAUUCGAAGUCGUAAAUUAGAGGCUACGAAUGCUAUAGUUAAAACUGCCAAAAAAUAAAGCUCCGUAAAUCGUCAGGAGAUGUAAUGCUUUUAUGUUGGUUGCUAUAAACCGAGAAACUAAUGCUAAUUAUGUUGGCAAAAAACGUUGUAAAGAAACGAAAAAAAAAAAAAAAACCACAUAAAAAAUGAAAAAUUCUAUCCUUAAAAACUUUGCUAUAAUAAAAGGUAUAUAUUUCCUACUGCAUCCUUUGCCUCAUUUUGAUCUCACCUGUAGCGAUGGCAGAACCGGUUGUCACCGAUAUUACCUUUCGCAGACUGCUACGCAGCAUAUGCACGAAGUUCUCUUUGCCUCCAGCGAGGUAUGGAGUGAGUUUGGAUGCCACAGGUUGCUUUUCGAGCUUAUGUGGACGUUGCAGUACCUAGGGUUGGC